AUUGAACGCUGGCGGCAUGCCUUACACAUGCAAGUCGAACGGCAGGCACGGACUUCGGUCUGGUGGCGAGUGGCGAACGGGUGAGUAAUGUAUCGGAACGUACCUUUCAGUGGGGGAUAACGUAGCGAAAGUUACGCUAAUACCGCAUAUUCUGUGAGCAGGAAAGCAGGGGAUCGCAAGACCUUGCGCUGAUUGAGCGGCCGAUAUCAGAUUAGCUAGUUGGUGGGGUAAAGGCCUACCAAGGCUACGAUCUGUAGCGGGUCUGAGAGGAUGAUCCGCCACACUGGAACUGAGACACGGUCCAGACUCCUACGGGAGGCAGCAGUGGGGAAUUUUGGACAAUGGGGGCAACCCUGAUCCAGCCAUGCCGCGUGAGUGAAGAAGGCCUUCGGGUUGUAAAGCUCUUUCGGCCGGGAAGAAAUCGCAUAGGCUAAUACCCUGUGUGGAUGACGGUACCGGAAUAAGAAGCACCGGCUAACUACGUG
This 485-nucleotide ribosomal RNA is filed under the name uncultured bacterium. RNAcentral's name for it is "bacterial SSU rRNA". It matches the Rfam family "Bacterial small subunit ribosomal RNA", at positions 30 to 507 of the family's 1533-position model. The record is from RNAcentral.